UACGUAGGGGGCAAGCGUUGUCCGGAAUCAUUGGGCGUAAAGAGCGUGUAGGCGGCCAGAUAAGUCCGCUGUGAAAUCUCGAGGCUCAACUUCGAGCUGUCGGUGGAAACUGUCUGGCUAGAGUCCGGAAGAGGAGAAUGGAAUUCCUGGUGUAGCGGUGAAAUGCGCAGAUAUCAGGAGGAACGCUAGUGGCGUAGGCGAGACUCUGGACAGUUCCUGACGCUGAGGCACGAAGGCCAGGGGAGCAAACGGG
Molecule: ribosomal RNA, 253 nt
Filed under: uncultured bacterium
Lineage: Bacteria
Description: partial 16S ribosomal RNA
Rfam family: Bacterial small subunit ribosomal RNA
Source: RNAcentral